GACGAACGCUGGCGGCAUGCCUAAUACAUGCAAGUCGAGCGGACAGAAGGGAGCUUGCUCCCGAAAGUCAGCGGCGGACGGGUGAGUAACACGUGGGCAACCUGCCCCUUAGAUUGGGAUAACUUCGGGAAACCGAAGCUAAUACCGAAUAAUACAAGGAACCUCCUGGUUCUCUGUUGAAAGAUGGCCUUUGUGCUGUCACUAAGGGAUGGGCCCGCGGCGCAUUAGCUAGUUGGUAAGGUAACGGCUUACCAAGGCAGCGAUGCGUAGCCGACAUGAGAGGGUGGUGGUCCACGCGAGGACUGAGACACGGCCAAGACUCCUACGGGAGGCAGCAGUAGGGAAUCUUCCGCAAUGGACGAAAGUCUGACGGAGCAAUGCCGCGUGAGUGAGGAAGGCCUUCGGGUCGUAAAGCUCUUUUGUGAGGGAAGAACAAGUACCGGCGUAACUACCGGUACCGUGACGGUACCUCACCAGAAAGCCACGGCUAACUACGUGCCAGCCGCCGCCGUAA
Molecule: ribosomal RNA, 514 nt
Filed under: uncultured bacterium
Lineage: Bacteria
Description: partial 16S ribosomal RNA
Rfam family: Bacterial small subunit ribosomal RNA
Source: RNAcentral